UCACUGGUAGCUCAUUUCCUUAAGAAUUGAAAGGUUGACAUCAUAAAAGAUACUAUGUUUUAUUUUUUAUAGGUGUAAAUGUAUGAUUCUAUGUGGACUUUAGAAUAACAUAUGAUUCGAUAUAUUGGGAGUUUCUAAGAGAGGUUAUGAGACUUGAAAGUUGAAAGAGAUGAACUGGCACACCCAGAAUAUGGGGCCAGAAAUUGCAGAGGUGCAGGAUCCGAAGCGGUGGCUGCUACAAGAAUGGAAUAUUCUAAAGCAUUCGCUUCUGAAAGAAUUUGAACUAAUUGUGCCACAGUUGAG
This 303-nucleotide long non-coding RNA is filed under the name Medicago truncatula (barrel medic). Its description in RNAcentral is "lncRNA gene11696". The record is from RNAcentral. Lineage: Eukaryota; Viridiplantae; Streptophyta; Magnoliopsida; Fabales; Fabaceae.